Molecule: ribosomal RNA, 882 nt
Filed under: uncultured archaeon
Lineage: Archaea
Description: bacterial SSU rRNA
Rfam family: Archaeal small subunit ribosomal RNA
Source: RNAcentral
UCCGGUUGAUCCUGCCAGAGGCUACUGCCAUCAGAGUUCGAUUAAGCCAUGUUAGUCGAGGGUGCUUCUUCUUCGGAAGAGGUAACCGGCAGACGGCUCAGUAACACGUGGACAACUUACCCUUGGGACCGGGAUAACCCCUGGGAAACUGGGGCUAAUACCGGAUAGAGCAUCGGUUGCUGGAAUGCACGAUGGUCUAAAGCUGAGGCGCCCAAGGAUAGGUCUGCGGCCGAUUAGGUUGUUGUUGAUGUGACGGAUCAACAAGCCUACGAUCGGUACGGGUUGUGAGAGCAAUAGCCCGGAGAUGGGUUCUGAGAGAAGAACCCAGGUCCUACGGGACGCAUCAGGCGCGAAAACUUUACAAUGUGCGAAAGCACGAUAAGGGAACUCUGAGUGCCUCCUAAGGAGGCUGUUCGGGUGUCUAAAAAGCAUCCGAAGGRAGGGCUGGGUAAGACCGGUGCCAGCCGCCGCGGUAACACCGGCAGCCCAAGUGGUAGCCACGCYUAUUGGGUCUAAAGCGUCCGUAGCCGGCCAAGUAAGUUCUUUGGGAAAUUUGACCGCUUAACGGUCAAGCUAUCAGGGAAUACUGCUUGGCUUGGGACCGGGAGAGGUCAGAGGUACUCCAAGGGUAGGGGUGAAAUCCGUUAAUCCUUGGGGGACCACCGGUAGCGAAGGCGUCUGACCAGACCGGGUCCGACGGUGAGGGACGAAGGCUAGGGUCGCGAACCGGAUUAGAUACCCGGGUAGUCCUAGCUGUAAACGAUGCGGGCCAGGUGUUGGCAUUACUGCGAGUGAUGCCAGUGCCGAAGGGAAGCCGUUAAGCCCGCCAUCUGGGGAGUACGGUCGCAAGGCUGAAACUUAAAGGAAUUGGCGGGGGAGCAC